ACCAGAGUUUAUUGAACGGAAGUCUUCAGGAUGGAAUUUAAUAAACUUAGCGGCGGACGGGUGAGUAACGCGUGGGCGACCUGCCCUGUACAGAGGGACAACAACGGGAAACCGUUGCUAAUACCUCAUAAGACCCUAAAGGGGCAUCCCUUAUGGGUCAAAGAAUUUCGGUACAGGAUGGGCCCGCGUCUGAUUAGCUAGUUGGUGAGGUAAUGGCUCACCAAGGCGACGAUCAGUAGCCGACCUGAGAGGGUGAUCGGCCACACUGGAACUGAGACACGGUCCAGACUCCUACGGGAGGCAGCAGUGGGGAAUAUUGCACAAUGGGCGAAAGCCUGAUGCAGCAACGCCGCGUGAGCGAUGAAGGCCUUCGGGUCGUAAAGCUCUGUCCUAAGGGAAGAAUUUUGACGGUACCUUAGGAGGAAGCCCCGGCUAACUACGUGCCAGCAGCCGCGGUAAUACGUAGGGGGCAAGCGUUAUCCGGAAUCACUGGGCGUAAAGGGUGCGUAGGCGGUCUUACAAGUCAGGGGUGAAAGGCUACGGCUCAACCGUAGUAAGCCUUUGAAACUGUAGGACUUGAGUGCAGGAGAGGAAAGUGGAAUUCCUAGUGUAGCGGUGAAAUGCGUAGAUAUUAGGAGGAACACCAGUGGCGAAGGCGACUUUCUGGACUGUAACUGACGCUGAGGCACGAAAGUGUGGGGAGCAAACAGGAUUAGAUACCCUGGUAGUCCACACCGUAAACGAUGAGUGCUAGGUGUUGGGGGUCGAACCUCAGUGCCGCAGCUAACGCAUUAAGCACUCCGCCUGGGGAGUACGCUCGCAAGAGUGAAACUCAAAGGAAUUGACGGGGACCCGCACAAGCAGCGGAGCAUGUGGUUUAAUUCGAAGCAACGCGAAGAACCUUACCUGGACUUGACAUCCUUCAGACCACUCCUUAACCGGAGUCUUCCCUUCGGGGACUGAAGUGACAGGUGGUGCAUGGUUGUCGUCAGCUCGUGUCGUGAGAUGUUGGGUUAAGUCCCGCAACGAGCGCAACCCUUGUCUUUAGUUGCCAGCCAGUAAGGUGGGCAACCUAAAGAGACUGCCGGGGAUACUUCGGAGGAAGGUGGGGAUGACGGUCAAUCAUCAUGCCCUUAGUUCAGGGCUACACCGUGCUACAUGGCGAAACAAGGCUGCCAAGAGUAUCUGAACCAUCCCUAAGUCGUCCAGUUCGAUUGGGGCGAACCGCCCAUGAAUUGGAUUGCAAUAAUCGAAAUAAAAUCCCGGGAAGGUUCCGGCUUUACACCCCCCCCCCGGGAAUCAAGCCCAACCCCUUUUACCUUUUAGAACCGAAGGAUAACAAGGGGGGAGUAAAGAAAAAAAAGAAAAGAGAAAAAAAAAAAAAAGAAUUUUUGUUGUGGU
RNAcentral lists this ribosomal RNA (1401 nucleotides) under Limnospira maxima DM05. Its description in RNAcentral is "bacterial SSU rRNA". It matches the Rfam family "Bacterial small subunit ribosomal RNA". The record is from RNAcentral. Lineage: Bacteria; Bacillati; Cyanobacteriota; Cyanophyceae; Oscillatoriales; Sirenicapillariaceae.